CGGGAUGUCGCGUAAGGGUUAGCGCACCUGGUCUGGGGCCAGGUGGACGGGGUUCGAGUCCCUGCUUCCCGACCC
Molecule: transfer RNA, 75 nt
Filed under: Actinomycetota bacterium
Lineage: Bacteria; Bacillati; Actinomycetota
Description: Actinobacteria bacterium (soil metagenome) tRNA-Pro
Rfam family: tRNA
About the family: Transfer RNA (tRNA) molecules are approximately 80 nucleotides in length. Their secondary structure includes four short double-helical elements and three loops (D, anti-codon, and T loops). Further hydrogen bonds mediate the characteristic L-shaped molecular structure. tRNAs have two regions of fundamental functional importance: the anti-codon, which is responsible for specific mRNA codon recognition, and the 3' end, to which the tRNAs corresponding amino acid is attached (by aminoacyl-tRNA synthetases). tRNAs cope with the degeneracy of the genetic code in two manners: having more than one tRNA (with a specific anti-codon) for a particular amino acid; and 'wobble' base-pairing, i.e. permitting non-standard base-pairing at the 3rd anti-codon position.
Source: RNAcentral